AUUUGACCUCAAAUCAGGUAGGAGUACCCGCUGAA
Molecule: ribosomal RNA, 35 nt
Filed under: Saccharomyces cerevisiae (brewer's yeast)
Lineage: Eukaryota; Fungi; Ascomycota; Saccharomycetes; Saccharomycetales; Saccharomycetaceae
Description: partial 26S ribosomal RNA
Source: RNAcentral